GCAGGAGGAAUGAUAUGAAGGCAGGUAAUGGCCACACCCUUAGUGGCCGUUUAAGUAAUGAGGGACCAUAAUCAUUUCACUAUAGUUAUGAUGGAUAUAUAUUUUAUUGUGUGAGGGAUGGGAAGGAAGAGUUGAUGUUGGCAUAACAGAAAUCAGAUGCAGUCAGGAAAUUUGUUGAAAUAAUUCAGAAUUUGACAGUAACUGGAACACUAAUGGUCAUAUAAAAAAUCGGUAAGGUGUACAUACGCUUUGAGGAAUUCAGACUUCCCGAAUGGGUUGUAUGAGUUCUGAAAGAAAGGAUUUAACAAUAACUUCAUGGAUUUGGGCCUGAUUAACUAAAACUCUUAAAUCUUUGUCUAGGAUGCAUCCUUGUUCCUGUUUGUGCUAAUGGCUUUCGGUAGAAAAAUGUUAAUCAAAAUCCAAGUUGGAAUCACAUAUGAGAGUCACUUGUUGAAACACCUGAGUGUAUUGAUGCUUACGAAUGCUUCUGUACACAGGAUUACUGAAAGGAGAAAUCCCAUUUUUGUUGUACUCAAAUAUCUUAAACUAGGACAUCCACUAAGUGAGAACAAAUGAAAUAAAAAUCAUCAGGACCCUGAAGCAGCACAUUGAGUUCCUCUUUGGGAAGGUGAUUGUUGAACCAUGAGACUGCCUUGGGGGAAGCUUUUCUGGGCAGACAGAAGACCUCAGAAGUUCUGAGAAGGAAGAAGGUGUUUUAUUUUCCAGGGAAAGCUAGUGGGUCUGUGAGAAAGGGGAAGUACCUUGGAGGCUGGGCAGACAUAGUCUGUAAAAAUUCCUGGUCUGGAAUCCUUUAGGAUGGCAAGCUUUUGUAGUUCUUAUAAAAUUAUUUCCAUUAAAAAUGUUCAGAUUUUCUAAAGCUUUAUGAGUUACUCUUGACAGUUUACAUGUUGGUAGAAAAUAUGUUUUCAUUUUGAGAUAAUGACAAGAUAAAUUUCAGCUUUCUUGUUAAAUUUUAUUUAUCUGCUUCUAACUUUUAUAGUCUUAUUUUCCUUUGAUGUGUGUCCCCUAUCAAGACACCUUAGUAAUAACAAUAGUAUAAUAAUAACAAUGAAAUUCCUACCAUAUGGAGCUUAUGCUUUCAUGUAAAAUGUAGAAAUUAAAUAUCUGGUAAAGAAUAAAAAUAUAUACUAUGCAAGAGAAUAUCA
RNAcentral lists this long non-coding RNA (1166 nucleotides) under Oryctolagus cuniculus (rabbit). RNAcentral's name for it is "lncRNA (ENSOCUG00000036198.1)". The record is from RNAcentral. Lineage: Eukaryota; Metazoa; Chordata; Mammalia; Lagomorpha; Leporidae.